RNAcentral lists this ribosomal RNA (426 nucleotides) under uncultured bacterium. RNAcentral's name for it is "bacterial SSU rRNA". It matches the Rfam family "Bacterial small subunit ribosomal RNA", at positions 359 to 777 of the family's 1533-position model. The record is from RNAcentral.
GAAUAUUGGACAAUGGGGGCAACCCUGAUCCAGCGACGCCGCGUGGGUGAAGAAGGCCUGCGGGUUGUAAAGCCCUUUCGGUGGGGAAGAAAAGCCUCGACCUAAUACGUCGGGGUCUUGACGUAACCCACAAAAGAAGCACCGGCUAACUCUGUGCCAGCCGCCGCGGUAAUACAGAGGGUGCGGGCGUUAAUCGGAAUUCCUGGGCGUAAAGCGCACGUAGGCGGCUCUGCAAGUCGGGUGUGAAAUCCCCGGGCUCAACCUGGGAACUGCAUUCGAUACUGCAUUGCUAGAGUAUGGGAGAGGGAAGUGGAAUUUCCGGUGUAGCGGUGAAAUGCGUAGAUAUCGGAAGGAACACCAGUGGCGAAAGCGACUUCCUGGACCAAUACUGACGCUCAGGUGCGAAAGCGUGGGGAGCAAACAGGA